This 373-nucleotide ribosomal RNA is filed under the name uncultured prokaryote. RNAcentral's name for it is "partial 16S ribosomal RNA". The record is from RNAcentral.
CCCUAUGGGGUGAACGGCGGCGAUCGCCAGGAUAUCCUCUUUAGCUUCGCCGGUGAAGUCGAAGCUGUCUCCCUCAUAUCCGACCAGGAGCUCGACCCUCUUCAGCCUCUGGCUGAAUAUCUGAUAAGCCAGGCACAGGUUCUCCGGGGAGGGCAUCUGUACCCAUGAUUCUGUUGGAGGACGGAUGGGAACGGAGAUAUAGGAUACUUCAGGAUCGAUCUCCUCCAGGAACUCAGCUAGGGCCAGGAGGCUGGCCUUACAAUCGUUUAUGCCGGCUAAGAGCAUGCUCUCCGUGGCCAGGAUGCCACUAUAUUCCCGGGCGAAAUCUUUGAUUCCCUGAAGGAUCGUAUCGAGCCUGAGACUGCGGUGGGGC